Molecule: ribosomal RNA, 420 nt
Filed under: bacterium
Lineage: Bacteria
Description: partial 16S ribosomal RNA
Rfam family: Bacterial small subunit ribosomal RNA
Source: RNAcentral
UGGGGGAUAUUGCACAAUGGGCGAAAGCCUGAUGCAGCGACGCCGCGUGGGGGAUGAAGGCUUUCGGGUUGUAAACCUCUUUCGCUAUCGAACAAGGCCCGCUUAGGGUGGGUUGAGGGUAGGUGGAGAAGAAGCGCCGGCUAACUACGUGCCAGCAGCCGCGGUAAUACGUAGGGCGCGAGCGUUGUCCGGAAUUAUUGGGCGUAAAGGGCUUGUAGGCGGCUUGUUGCGCCUGCUGUGAAAACGCGGGGCUUAACUUCGCGCGUGCAGUGGGUACGGGCAGGCUUGAGUGUGGUAGGGGUGACUGGAAUUCCAGGUGUAGCGGUGGAAUGCGCAGAUAUCCGGAGGAACACCGAUGGCGAAGGCAGGUCACUGGGCCAUUACUGACGCUGAGGAGCGAAAGCAUGGGUAGCGAACAGG